Molecule: RNA transcript, 1681 nt
Organism: Lathyrus oleraceus (garden pea)
Lineage: Eukaryota; Viridiplantae; Streptophyta; Magnoliopsida; Fabales; Fabaceae
Exons: 5
Source: RefSeq, a predicted model, not a curated record
AACCCGCUUGAAGAACUUCACGGGCUGAUUCUCCUUCAAACAAAACCACCACGCAUUCAGACCCGCGUAACACCCACCAUCUUCCUCCCGGUUCGACGCCGGUGCAGGAAAUCAAACACGGUGCAAGAAAACUCCAUUUCGGGACCUUCCCAAUCGUACGCCAAGAGCUAAGCAUUUGACGAACGAUUUCGACUUUUCCUUCCACAAAGAACCAAGCUCCGAGUCCAAAGUGAAAAUGGUAAAAAUGAAGGGAGAAGAAGCUUACCAGAUUCUAUGCGGAAACUAGUUGUUGUCGAGAUUUCUGCUUUAUCGUUUGUCGAUUUCGCGAUGCUGAGUCUUUGCUCUUGAUGAAUGAAGGAGGAAGAUGAUUUUUCUAUGUCGUUGUUCAAGAGUCGCGACGCAGAAGGUGACGUCGCCGAUGAACGACGAAGGAUGCGCGACUGUAACCUCCCUCCACUUGCGGUGGUUGGAGAGGGCGUUGAAGGUGUGACCUGUUGAUGGUGGAUUGAAGGUUUAUGAAUUGAACAGUUGCAGGUUCAGAGCACCUUGAAGGUUGGUUUUGGGAGGUUAUGGAAGAUGGAGAGUGGAGUUAUGCAGGUGGGGUUGUUGUUCUGUCAUGAGGGUGUUGAAAGGGGAGGAGGUUAUAGGGUUAUGAUGAGUUGUUAUCCGUUGAAGAAUUGAUGGAGGUUCUGUUAUCGGUGGCGAGAAGAAUUGAAGAGAGAUUGAAGGUGAUGGAGGAUGAAGAAGAUGGAAGAAGGUUGAAGAUGAAUGUGGCAAUGAAAAAGCCCCCGCUUCUGAACGACAAAGGAUUUUUGAAUUUGUGCAGUUCUCUCUUUGGUUUGCAGCUGUUAGCGUGUGGGAAGCAUUUAUGUUGCGUUUUCGGCCCCAGCGUGCGACAUUUGGAGCCUUUGCUGUAAUUUUGGUGCAGAAUUUUGACUUUGUCGUUGCCGGCUUUCGCGUUUGGAGUUGGCAGCUUGGCUUCUCUGUUUUGGAUGUGGCUUGUAGCUUUGAACUGUGUUCUUUCUGUGCAGUUGCGUUGAUGUUUAUGCAGGUUGUGCAUUUGCAGCUUUCUGAAGCUCUUCGAAUUGUGUUGCAGCUCAUGGCUGUGUUUGUGUUCGUAGCGACUUACGCUUGUGUUCAAUAGCUUGUGGCUUGGAAGCGUUAAGCUGGUUUGAAGUGUUGGCUCAUGCUAUAACUUUGAUGCCAGCGUUGUCGUUUUGCUUUCAUGGCUCGUUGAAGUGCUUUUGGUUUGUCUUACACUUUGCUUUGUAGCAGGCUUGGAGUUUUCGGCGCUGGCGUGCGGCAUUUGGUUGUGAUGCCUUCGGAGCUUGAAGCGAGCGUGUGGAGUUUCACUUGGUAGCAGCUUUUCUUUGGCUUUUGUGGCGGUAUCAGUUUUGGUUGUCCUUUCCGUUUUGAUUGUCGGGCUGUAGUCGCAUGCGCGUGGCGUUUAUGACAACAACCCUGGGUCUUUAUACUGGGGGCCUCGAUCUCUUCAGUCGUACCCCAGAUUUGUUGUUACCUUACAUAAUCACAAAGAAUAGAAUAUAUCAGAACUUGUAAUAUUUCAUUCAUAUUUGAGAAUUAAUCCUAUAAUCUAGGAAGGUGGUUAUGCAUACAUGUCAUAUAAUGCAAAUAAUAAAGAAAAACAUAACUAGGUGGGCUAGCCAUCGCUUAUUCUCCU